GCCGGGUAUGGUGGCACAUGCCUGUAAUCCUAGCAGCUCAGGAGGCUGAGGUGGGAGGAUCAUGAGUUCAAAACCAGCCUUGGCAAUUUAGCAAGGCCCUUAGCAACUCAGCCAGAUCCUGUCUCUA
RNAcentral lists this small RNA (127 nucleotides) under Marmota monax (woodchuck). The record is from RNAcentral. Lineage: Eukaryota; Metazoa; Chordata; Mammalia; Rodentia; Sciuridae.